Molecule: ribosomal RNA, 760 nt
Filed under: uncultured Inocybe
Lineage: Eukaryota; Fungi; Basidiomycota; Agaricomycetes; Agaricales; Cortinariaceae
Description: partial 28S ribosomal RNA
Rfam family: Eukaryotic large subunit ribosomal RNA
Source: RNAcentral
GAAUCCCGUCUUUGACACGGACUGCCUGUACAUUAUGGUGUGCUCUCGAAGAGUCGAGUUGUUUGGGAAUGCAGCUCAAAAUGGGUGGUAGAUGCCAUCUAAAGCUAAAUAUUGGCGAGAGACCGAUAGCGAACAAGUACCGUGAGGGAAAGAUGAAAAGAACUUUGGAAAGAGAGUUAAACAGUACGUGAAAUUGCUGAAAGGGAAACGCUUGAAGUCAGUCGCGUUGGCUAGAAAUCAACCUUGCUUUUGCUUUGUGUACUUUCUGGUUGACGGGUCAGCAUCAAUUUUGACCACUGGAUAAAGUCUUUGGGAAUGUGGUAUCUUCGGAUGUGUUAUAGCCCAUUGUCGCAUACGGUGGUUGGGAUUGAGGAACUCAGCACGCCGCAGGGCCGGGUUUCGACCACGUUCGUGCUUAGGAUGCUGGCAUAAUGGCUUUAAUCGACCCGUCUUGAAACACGGACCAAGGAGUCUAACAUGCCUGCGAGUGUUUGGGUGGAAAAACCCAUGCGCGCAAUGAAAGUGAAAGUUGAGAUCCUCUUCAAAGGGGGAGCAUUGACGCCCGGACCAGACCUUUUGUGACGGAUCCGCGGUAGAGCAUGCAUGUUGGGACCCGAAAGAUGGUGAACUAUGCCUGAAUAGGGUGAAGCCAGAGGAAACUCUGGUGGAGGCUCGUAGCGAUUCUGACGUGCAAAUCGAUCGUCAAAUUUGGGUAUAGGGGCGAAAGACUAAUCGAACCAUCUAGUAGCUGGUUCCUGCC